UAUUUGUAAAGCAAAAACAUGAAAGAAAAAAGAAAAAAUGCCACGCGUCUGCAGUCUAAUUGGGCCGCAUCAGUAUACGUGGGCCUUGGCAUGGCUAGAAGUGCCGCGCGGCCCGCGCGCCUAUCUGCGACAGUGGAGUGGAACGUGUUCGCGCGAGGACGAUGUGAGCGACGAAUUAGACUAUUCGGCUUCGGUUGCUCCGCUUUUGUUCGUCGCCCCCCAAAACCCUAGCCCAUUCCCUUCACCUGCUCGACAGCCUCCGCCGGCGACUGUGUUGUCGGUAGGCGGUGGUCCUAACAGCGGCGGCGUCUCUACGCCUGCUCGACGGCCUCCGCCGGCGCCUGUGUUGUCGGUAGGCGGUGCUCCUAACGGCGGCGUGGCUUAACGGCGGGGGCGGACGGCAUGCGAGGCGAGCCCCCGGCCGCCGGCCGGUGGUGCCUGUACCGUCUCGCUCUGCUGUCGCCUCUUCGCUCCCGCCUUCGACGCCACCGCCGCCGCUGGCUCCGAUUUCUUCCGCUCCCCUCCUCGCCGCCCUUCCCCUCCUCGGCAUCUCCCGUCGCUCCCCCAAAUCCCUCUUCCUCGUCGGCCGCUCCCCACCUCCCGUCGGCCGCUCCCCACCUCGGUGGCCUUCCUCUCCUCGCCGGCCGUUCCCCACCUCCCGCCGCCCCCCCAGAUCCCUCUUGCUCGGCGCCCCCCUCCCGCCCUGCCCGUUCGCGCUGUGCUUCCUCCGGUCCCGCUCCCGUGCCUGGCGGUGGUGGCGCAGGUGGCCACGGCGACGUAGAUACACGCGACGGAGCUCUGUGGAGGUACCCAGCAUCAGCUAUGUUCAUAAAAAAAAAUGAAUCUGGGUGAUGCAUGCAUACUCGGGUUCAGUCGGGGAUGUGAAUCACAAGGUGUUUCCCCUUUCUUUUGCCGAGGUGGGGUGGGGGUGGAGGGGACGAUGGGAAGAGGCGGAGGAGGAGGUGGAAGGCGCCGCGGGAGGAUCAGCUGGGGAUGGUGCCUACCCGGAUCUUCUCCAACGACGGGCGCACUCGGACGGCGACGGUGUACACGCACCAGGAGCGGCAGGGGAUCAACCAGGACGCCAUGCUCGUCUAGGAUGGGUUCAACCGCGAUGAUGACGACGUUCGACGGCCACAGGCCGCACGGCCACGCCCUACCGCGCAGGGUCCACGAGUCGCUGCCGUUGAGUCUCAUGUCAGCCGCACGCACCAACGGGGUGGGCAUGUCGGCCUUCGCCUGCCCCUACAAGGCCAUGCCCAACGACCUCCGCUUGCACCCUACCAGUUCGUCACUCUUGUGUCCGAUGGGGUUUUUGAUUUUAGGACAUUCAAGUGGUCAGUAUUAAGUCCUAGCGAUCCAAACCAGUCGAAUACUAAAAAUAGUACCACAGACCAGUCAUUCCCGGCAAUAGCAGGCCAUAGUCUGAUAUGAAAACUUAAUUAUUUUUUUUAUUAGCUGCUACUCCUCCAAUCCUGAUUGGUAUUUCUUAUGCUAACCAGUGUAACCUCUCAGGCCAAGUAGAAAAAUAAUAUUACAGUUGUAGCUGGGAACACAAGAACAUCAACAUCAAAUAAGGUUUCAGUUUGGCUUAUUAACAUGGAAACAAAUAGCUGGUCCUCUGUUGAUACAUAUGGAAAAGUCCCAAAUUUCUGAAUAUCGAGCUUUUUUGUUUUUCUCAACCACAUAUGCCGUGGUGGGCAAUCUGUAUCCCUAAUUGGUUCUCGACUGAUAAUGUUUGGUGGGGAGGAUAACAAGAGGCGUCUUCUGAAUGACCUUCAUAUACUUGACCUGGAGACAAUUAUGUGGGAAGAAGUUAAAACAGAGAAAUGUGGUCCACCUCCUAGGUAUGAUCAUUCAGCUGCUGUUUAUGCCGACCAGUAUCUUUUAAUAUUUGGUGGUUCCUUCCACUCUACAUGCUUUAGUGAUCUCUACCUCCUUGACUUGCAAACUGUUUGAAUUUCUAACUGCAGCGUCAUGUACGACCAGCGCUCCCUCAUCAUCUCCAGCGAUGCCGCCUCCUCAUCUCCACCUCCUUCACUAACCCUGCAGCGUCCAUGAGAUGUGGCCCACGCUGGUGCCCGAGGCCAAGGACGGCGGCGCGGACUGCGUCGAGAUUUAAUUAUUUAUUUGAUCUGCCCUUUGACUGCACUGCUAAUACUAUUCCUUUAAUUUCCUCACUGCAUCAUCUGUUGUUAGGCUUCCAGCACUCCUUCCACUAGACACGUACCUCCUCCACUUCUUAAUCCUCUGACGCCGAUCGAGGAAGAGGGCAUAUCAGCAAGCGGUACGGAUCGAGGUGGGGGCCAGCAAGCUCGCAGCGGAGCAGAUCAAAGUAGGGUGCACCACCAUGGUCUUCUCUGGCAUGGAUCUUGCUACGGGGACGGUGCAGAGGUCGACACCAUAAUGGAUUUUGCUCCCUCAACAUUAGCAGCUUGGACAUCGGUCAUGCGCUAGGCAUCAUCGCAAGCCGCUAAUGCUGGUUCGUCUCUGACUGAAGAUCAGCUUCCCCAGUGCCUCCUGCCCCCAAAAGGUCAAUUCUACACCCCCUUCCCCUCGAGUCAUACUUUUCUGCUUCAUCUGGUCAUUCCUGACAUAGGUUCAGAUCGAUCAUGUUCACUACUGAUCCUCUUCUGGACCUUUUGGUUAACCCCAUAUAGGUAUGCAGAGGUAGCAUCCGAUGCAUAUUCUUGGAUUUCGGUUCAUUCAGUUCCACAUAGGUGAAAAAGAAUGGCAAGAUGCAUCGGUUGCCAUUAGCUAGCUAUUGCGAGUCUAUUUUAAGUUAUGAAUGCUUUUUUCAUGUUUUAUCUAAGGCGAUGCAUCUGGUCAUUACACUACUCAUCAGAUUAGUUAGGUUUAGUUUGAUGGCAGAAUACCGUGUUUAUGCUGAGUGGAUGAUAUAUCUGUUCAGUAUCUUCGGCUUCCUAGCCUUUCCAAUAAAUUAUAUUUAAUUUGUUAAUUCAUUGCUCACUAUUUUUAUUAGUAGGAUGACCAAGUAUGAAUGCAUUGAUCAUGUUCAUUAUGGGGACAAUCUUAUAUUGGCACUGUUCUUGAAUAAGUCAUCAAUGAUUAUCUGUGAAACGAACAAUGUUGGCAUAUUACCAUAUCCAACCUUUCAAUCUGACCACUAUAAAGAUGGGAUGAAGAAUAUGAAGGUCACUGCUGACUUUAUCUGCAGCAGACCGGCUUAUCUUUUCCAAGUGCCAUGGCCACCUGCUGUGUUGCUCGAUACCUGUUAAUUUUCCACACAUCACAUAUGAGUAUUUUUUUUUUCUUGUGUUGAGUUGGGAAUUAUAAUGGAUAGAUGGCUUUCCCGCAUGUGAGACCCAAGACAUCAUCACUUGUGUGCACCAGCGAGUAAGCAAGCAUGUAUCUAGAGGUGGAAGGCAAAAUAAGUUCUUUCAAGCUGCCAUCCCUUCGUCAUCCGUAUCAUUUAUAACAACAACAAAACUAAUGAUGAUUUGACAGGUACUGAUCA
Long non-coding RNA from Oryza brachyantha (malo sina), 3478 nucleotides. RefSeq lists it as uncharacterized. The transcript has 10 exons. The record is from RefSeq and is a predicted model, not a curated record. NCBI's taxonomy places the organism in Eukaryota, Viridiplantae, Streptophyta, Magnoliopsida, Poales, Poaceae.